RNAcentral lists this ribosomal RNA (293 nucleotides) under uncultured bacterium. Its description in RNAcentral is "partial 16S ribosomal RNA". It matches the Rfam family "Bacterial small subunit ribosomal RNA", at positions 775 to 1067 of the family's 1533-position model. The record is from RNAcentral.
GGAUUAGAUACCCUGGUAGUCCACGCCCUAAACGAUGUGUGCUAGGUGUUGGGGGACUUGUCCCUUGGUGCCGGAGCUAACGUGUUAAGCACACCGCCUGGGGAGUACGGCCGCAAGGUUAAAACUCAAAGAAAUUGACGGGGGCCCGCACAAGCGGUGGAGCAUGUGGUUUAAUUCGACGCAACGCGCAGAACCUUACCAGCCCUUGACAUGCUAGUUGCGGAAACGGGAGACUGUUUCUUUCCUUCGGGAGACUAGUACAGGUGCUGCAUGGCUGUCGUCAGCUCGUGCUG